RNAcentral lists this ribosomal RNA (485 nucleotides) under uncultured bacterium. Its description in RNAcentral is "partial 16S ribosomal RNA". It matches the Rfam family "Bacterial small subunit ribosomal RNA", at positions 899 to 1397 of the family's 1533-position model. The record is from RNAcentral.
ACUCAAAUGAAUAGACGGGGACCCGCACAAGCGGAGGAGCAUGUGGUUUAAUUCGACGGUAAGCGAGGAACCUUACCUGGGUUUGAAAUGUAGCUGCAAGCCUUUGGAAACAUUGGCCGCCUUCGAGGGUGCUACACAGGUGCUGCAUGGUUGCCGUCAGCUCGUGUCGUGAGAUGUACCGUUAAGUCGGGUAACGAGCGCAACCCCCGUCCCGUGUUGUUUUUUCACGGGAGACCGCCUCGGAUAACGGGGAGGAAGGUGGGGAUGACGUCAAAUCAGCAUGGCUCUUACAUCCAGGGCCACACACGUGCUACAAUGGCCGGUACAAUGGGUCGCCAAGCCGCAAGGCGGAGCUAAUCCCAACAAAACCGGCCCCAGUUCGGAUUGGGGGCUGCAAUUCGCCCCCAUGAAGCCGGAUUCGCUAGUAAACGCAUAUCAGCCACGGUGCGUUGAAUACGUUCUCGGGUCUUGUACACACCGCCCGU